Molecule: long non-coding RNA, 500 nt
Filed under: Mytilus galloprovincialis (Mediterranean mussel)
Lineage: Eukaryota; Metazoa; Mollusca; Bivalvia; Mytilida; Mytilidae
Source: RNAcentral
CUAAUUUUUAUUUUGAAGAAAAGUUAUUUCAAACUUUCCGUACUUUAAAUUAUUCAAGUUGUCAAAUUAUCCAUCAUUUACAUUUUUACUCCAAUUAACUAAAUCUGCCCAAAAGUAUGGAUAAACUCAAUAUGGACCAAUUAAGGUCAAAAUGAUGAUGUUGAGAGUAACUUGUAUCAUUCCAUUUUAACUAGUAUUUUAAGUACCCAAGAAACCAGAGUAAAUCCAAAUUGAAGUCAACCUAGUAUGUAACAUUUCUGCAUCCAUAUUAACAUUGAUUUAAUAAGAAAUUAAAGCUCAGUUUUAAUCAACAUGUUGAUCUAGAUUUUUUAACAUAGCUAACGCAGAAAGAUUACAGUUAAUUGGAAGAACAGCUGCAAGACACGUUAUUCUCAUUAAGAACUGUCAUUGAUAAAAAAAAAAAAAAAGAACCAUAAUUCCAUGAACAAAUUUCCAGUAUGUGAACCUGAAAUAUAAAUAUGGAAAAUUAAUUGAAAACA